GUGCCAGCAGCCGCGGUAAUACGGAGGGUGCAAGCGUUGUUCGGAAUUAUUGGGCGUAAAGAGCGUGUAGGCGGUUUGGCAAGUCAGGCAUGAAAUCCCCGGGCUUAACCUGGGAACUGCGUUUGUGACUGCAAGGCUAGAGUACGGCAGAGGGGGGUGGAAUUCCACGUGUAGCAGUGAAAUGCGUAGAUAUGUGGAGGAACACCGAUGGCGAAGGCAGCCCCCUGGGCCUGUACUGACGCUCAUGCACGAAAGCGUGGGGAGCAAACAGGAUUAGAUACCCUGGUAGUCCACGCCCUAA
RNAcentral lists this ribosomal RNA (301 nucleotides) under uncultured bacterium. RNAcentral describes it as "bacterial SSU rRNA". It matches the Rfam family "Bacterial small subunit ribosomal RNA", at positions 505 to 805 of the family's 1533-position model. The record is from RNAcentral.